CCUACGGGUGGCAGCAGUGGGGAAUAUUGCACAAUGGGGGAAACCCUGAUGCAGCGACGCCGCGUGGGUGAAGGAGUAUUUCGGUAUGUAAAGCUCUAUCAGCAGGGAAGAAACCCACCCUCCGGGGUGGCUGACGGUACCUGACUAAGAAGCCCCGGCUAACUGCGUGCCAGCAGCCGCGGUAAUACGUAGGGGGCAAGCGUUAUCCGGGUUUACUGGGUGGAAAGGGAGCGUAGGUGGCAAGGCAAGGCGGAUGUGAAAACCCGGGGCCCAACCCCGGGAGUGCACUUGAAACUGUCGGGCUAGAGUGCAGGAGAGGUAAGUGGAAUUCCUAGUGUAGCGGUGAAAUGCAUAGAUAUUAGGAGGAACACCAGCGGCGAAGGCGGCUUACUGGACUGUAACUGACACUGAGGCUCGAAAGCGUGGGGAGCAAACAGGAUUAGAUACCCUUGUAGUC
This 457-nucleotide ribosomal RNA is filed under the name uncultured bacterium. RNAcentral describes it as "partial 16S ribosomal RNA". It matches the Rfam family "Bacterial small subunit ribosomal RNA", at positions 338 to 795 of the family's 1533-position model. The record is from RNAcentral.